GGAUGCGAUCAUACCAGCACUAAAGCGCCGGAUCCCAUCAGAACUCCGAAGUUAAGCGUGCUUGGGCGAUAGUAGUACUAGGAUGGGUGACCUCCUGGGAAGUCCUCGUGUUGCAUUCC
RNAcentral lists this ribosomal RNA (119 nucleotides) under Triticum aestivum (bread wheat). RNAcentral also lists the same sequence under 1 other name. Lineage: Eukaryota; Viridiplantae; Streptophyta; Magnoliopsida; Poales; Poaceae. The record is from RNAcentral.